UAGUACGGCGAGUGAAGAGGGAAGAGCCCAAGAUUGAAAGCUGGCGUCUUCGGCGUCCGCAUUGUAAUCUCAAGAAGUGUUUUCCGCUUCGGACCAUGCCUAAGUCCCUUGGAAAAGGGCAUCAUAGAGGGUGAUAAUCCCGUACAUGGCAUGGAGCGCCCGAAGCUUUGUGAUACGCUUUCUAAGAGUCGAGUUGUUUGGGAAUGCAGCUCAAAAUGGGUGGUAAAUGCCAUCUAAGGCUAAAUAUUGGGGAGAGACCGAUAGCGAACAAGUACAGUGAUGGAAAGAUGAAAAGAACUUUGAAAAGAGAGUUAAACAGUACGUGAAAUUGCCAAAAGGGAAGGGUAGGAGGUCAGAGAUGCGGCCUGGGAUUCAGCCUUGCUUUUGCUUGGUGUUUUUCCCAGAUUGCAGGCCAACGUCGGUUUUGGGCACUGGAGAAGGGUAGGAGGAACGUGGCACCUCUCGGGGUGUGUUAUAGCCUCCUACUGGAUACAGCGACCGAGACCGAGGACAGCAGCGUACUCGCAAGAGCGGGCCUUCGGGCACCUUUACGCUUAGGGCGUUGGCAUAAUGGCCCUCUACCACCCGUCU
Molecule: ribosomal RNA, 591 nt
Filed under: uncultured Pseudozyma
Lineage: Eukaryota; Fungi; Basidiomycota; Ustilaginomycetes; Ustilaginales; Ustilaginaceae
Description: eukaryotic LSU rRNA
Rfam family: Eukaryotic large subunit ribosomal RNA
Source: RNAcentral